RNAcentral lists this non-coding RNA (19 nucleotides) under Arabidopsis thaliana (thale cress). Lineage: Eukaryota; Viridiplantae; Streptophyta; Magnoliopsida; Brassicales; Brassicaceae. The record is from RNAcentral.
CUAGUGGUAUGAUUCGCGC